ACGUACGCUGGCGGCACGCCUAACACAUGCAAGUCGAACGAAGUAGCAAUACUUAGUGGCAGACGGGUGAGUAACAUGUAGGUAUCUGCCCUUUGGCCUGGAAUAACACGAGGAAACUUGUGCUAAUACCGGAUAAGUCUUUACGGAGAAAGCUUUAUGCACCAUUGGAUGAGCCUGCACUUGAUUAGUUUGUUGGUGGGGUAAUGGCCUACCAAGACUGUGAUCAAUAGCUGAUUUGAGAGGAUGAUCAGCCACAUUGGGACUGGGACACGGCCCAAACUCCUACGGGAGGCAGCAGUGGGGAAUCUUGCACAAUGGAGGAAACUCUGAUGCAGCGAUGCCGCGUGAGUGAAGAAGGCCCUUGGGUUGUAAAGCUCUUUCGUCGGGGAAGAAAAUGACUGUACCCGAAUAAGAAGGUCCGGCUAACUUCGUGCCAGCAGCCGCGGUAAUACGAAGGGACCUAGCGUAGUUCGGAAUUACUGGGCUUAAAGAGUUCGUAGGUGGUUGAAAAAGUUAGUGGUGAAAUCCCAGAGCUUAACUCUGGAACUGCCAUUAAAACUUUUCAGCUAGAGUAUGAUAGAGGAAAGCAGAAUUUCUAGUGUAGAGGUGAAAUUCGUAGAUAUUAGAAAGAAUACCAAUUGCGAAGGCAGCUUUCUGGAUCAUUACUGACACUGAGGAACGAAAGCAUGGGUAGCGAAGAGGAUUAGAUACCCUCGUAGUCCAUGCCGUAAACGAUGUGUGUUAGACGUUGGAAAUUUAUUUUCAGUGUCGCAGGGAAACCGAUAAACACACCGCCUGGGGAGUACGACCGCAAGGUUAAAACUCAAAUGAAUUGACGGGGACCCGCACAAGUAGUGGAGCAUGUGGUUUAAUUCGAAGAUACGCGCAGAACCUUACCAACACUCGACAUGUUCGUCGCGACUCUAAGAGAUUAGAGUUUUCGGUUCGGCCGGACGAAACACAGGUGCUGCAUGGCUGUCGUCAGCUCGUGUCGUGAGAUGUUGGGUUAAGUCCCGCAACGAGCGCAACCCUCACUUUUAGUUGCCAUCAUUAAGUUGGGCACUCUGAAAGAACUGCCAGUGAUAAGCUGGAGGAAGGUGGGGAUGACGUCAAGUCCUCAUGGCCCUUACGUGUUGGGCUACACACAUGCUACAAUGGUAUCUACAACAGGAAGCAAGACUGCGAAGUUAAGCAAAUCCCUAAAAGAUACCUCAGUUCGGAUUGCACUCUGCAACUCGAGUGCAUGAAGCUGGAAUUACUAGUAAUCGUGGAUCAGCGUGCCACGGUGAAUGCGUUCCCGGGUCUUGCACUCACCGCC
RNAcentral lists this ribosomal RNA (1318 nucleotides) under uncultured bacterium. RNAcentral describes it as "bacterial SSU rRNA". It matches the Rfam family "Bacterial small subunit ribosomal RNA", at positions 29 to 1394 of the family's 1533-position model. The record is from RNAcentral.